UUAAAGUUUGAUUUUGGUUUUAAUAUUAAUUUUAUUAUUUUUUUGCAUGUAAGUUUUUAAAUAAUUAAAAAUGAUUAUUGCAGCAUUUAAUUUUAAUAAUUAAAGAAAUUUAGAAUUAUAAAUUAUAUUUAAAUAUAGACAAAAUAAUUGUGCCAGCAGUAGCGGUUAAACGUUUUAUGUAAGUUAAUAUAUUCAAUUGAUAAAUUAUAGUAAAUUUUUAUAUAAUUAAAGUAAAUUUUAUGGUGAAAUUAAAUUUUUUUAAUAUAUAUAUAUAUAUAUAUUUUUAUGAAAUCUAAAUUUUAAACUAGGAUUAGAUACCCUAUUAUUUUAGAUGUAAAAUUUUUAUUUUAAUAAUUAAUAGUUAUGUUCUUUAAAAUUAAAAAAAUUGGCGGUAUUUAAAACUAAUUAGGGGAAUUUGUUUAUUAAACGAUGAUCCGCGAUAAAUCUUACUUUAAUUUAUUAAAUUUAUUUAUUUUCGUUAUCAGAAUAUUUUUARAGAAAUUAAAUUUUCAUAAAAUUUWAUAAAAUUUUAUUUCAGAUCAAGAUGUAGUYUAUAUUAAAGUUUAAAUGAAUUACAAUAAAAUUAUUAUUUUUGAAUAUUAAAUUGAAAUAUUUAAUUGAAAUUGGACUUAAUAGUAAAAUUUUAAAUUAURAUUAUUUGAAUUAAGAAUUAAAUAUGUACAAAUUGCCCGUCACUCUCAUUUUAAAAUGGGAUAAGUCGUAACAAAGUAAAUAUACUGGAAAGUGUAUUUAGAAUU
RNAcentral lists this non-coding RNA (758 nucleotides) under Gilpinia baiyinaobaoa. The record is from RNAcentral. Lineage: Eukaryota; Metazoa; Arthropoda; Insecta; Hymenoptera; Diprionidae.